UUGUUCCUUUUUUAUACCUAGCACUUUGACCAAAUCUGUGGGAAGUGCACUAAAUAGGUAACAUGCUGAUGGUAGGUACAGUAAUCAUACUAAAAGUGGGGAUGGGCAGCCAAGUAUUUAUAGCCAUGGCUUGCAGCAGAACAAAUGAGAACUGCUGCAACAAGGACAGCCCUGGGGAAGGAAUAUUUUGUUGCUCUGGAAACACGGUCGGAGUCAAUAACUAGCUGGAGAGCAGAGCUGCCAGAACUUGGGUGGGAGGGAGACACUGAUACAGGAAACAGGAGAGAAAGAUUUGUGUAGGUCCUUCUUUACCAUCAUAAGGAGCAGCAGCUGACCAAUGACCUGCAAUUCACAAAAUUUUUCCACGAUGGGAAAGUGGACAUUGACAACUGCUCCAUAAUCAUCAGCAAAAACAACUUAUACCUAAGGUGUGAGGAGGG
This is a long non-coding RNA of Aquila chrysaetos chrysaetos, 440 nucleotides long. RefSeq lists it as uncharacterized. Lineage: Eukaryota; Metazoa; Chordata; Aves; Accipitriformes; Accipitridae. The transcript is spliced from 2 exons. The record is from RefSeq and is a predicted model, not a curated record.